UAAAGAGGAGGAAGGAAUGGGCAACGGUAGGUCAGCACUGCCCCGAAUUAGUCUGGGCUACACGCGGGCUACAAUGGGUGGGACAAUGGGUAUCGACACCGAAAGGUGAAGGCAAUCUCCUAAACCCAUCCGUAGUUCGGAUUGUGGGCUGCAACUCGCCCACAUGAAGCUGGAAUCUAUAGUAAUCGUGUCUCAAAAUGGCACGGUGAAUAUGUCCCUGCUCCUU
RNAcentral lists this ribosomal RNA (226 nucleotides) under uncultured Methanomicrobiales archaeon. RNAcentral's name for it is "partial 16S ribosomal RNA". It matches the Rfam family "Archaeal small subunit ribosomal RNA", at positions 1115 to 1338 of the family's 1478-position model. The record is from RNAcentral. Lineage: Archaea; Methanobacteriati; Methanobacteriota; Methanomicrobia; Methanomicrobiales.